RNAcentral lists this ribosomal RNA (1644 nucleotides) under activated sludge metagenome. RNAcentral describes it as "bacterial LSU rRNA". It matches the Rfam family "Bacterial large subunit ribosomal RNA", at positions 668 to 2325 of the family's 2925-position model. The record is from RNAcentral.
GAAGCGAAAGCGAGUGCGAAAUGUGCGACAUUCAGUCGAGUGCGCUAGACCCGAAAGCAGGUGAUCUAACCAUGGGCAGGAUGAAGCGGAUGUAACAGUUCGUGGAGGUCCGAACCGGUAGAUGUUGAAAAAUCUUCGGAUGACUUGUGGUUAGGGAUAAAAGAUCAAUCAAACCUGCAGAUAGCUGGUUCUCCCCGAAAUAGCUUUAGGGCUAGCCUCAGGUGUUUUCCCGUGGGGGUAGAGCGACUGUUCAGGUUGAGGGGGUGCAUAACCUACCUCGCCCAGACAAACUCCGAAUACCAUGGGAACAAGCCUGGGAGUCAGACUGCGAGGGAUAAGCUUCGUGGUCAAGAGGGAAACAGCCCAGAUUGGCAGCUAAGGCCCCGAAUCCAUGCUAAGUGUAGAUAAGGAGGUGGGGUUGCUUAGACAGCUAGGAUGUUGGCUUAGAAGCAGCCAUCAUUUAAAAAGUGCGUAAUAGCUUACUAGUCGAGCAACUCUGCGCCGAAAAUUAACGGGACUAAGCAUGGAGCCGAAGCUCCAGACUGCACACGAAGAAGUGUGCAUUGGUAGGGGAGCGUUGGACGAGCCAUUGAAGGAGGACGGUAACGACCUCUGGAGGUGGUCCAAGUGAUCAUGCCGGGAUGAGUAGCGAUAAAGAAGGUGAGAAUCCUUCUCGCCGUAAGCCUAAGGUUUCCUGGGCAAGGCCAUUCCGCCCAGGGUUAGUCGGUCCCUAAGGCGAGGCUGAAAGGCGUAGUCGAUGGGAAGCAGGUCAACAUUCCUGCACCACUGUGAGCGUUGAACGAGGAGUGACGGCGGGUCGAAGGUUGUCCGGCUGUUAGAUGCCGGUUUGCAGUCUGGGGUGGUGGAUAGGUAAACCCGUCCACGGAAUCUCCGGGCUGUGAGGAGCCCUCGAGGCGAACCAACUGGAAGUCCGUCCAAGAAAAACUUCGCGGGAGCAGAGCGGUGACCGUACCUAAUCUGACACAGGAGGGCGAGGCGAAUAGCCUCAGGCGCUCGAGAGAACCCUACGUGAAGGAACUCGGCAAAUUAACCCCGUAAGUUAGCGAUAAGGGGUGCCUCCGCAAGGAGGUCACAGGAAAACGACAGCUGCGACUGUUUACUAAAAACACAGGUCUCUGCGAAGUCGUCAAAGACGACGUAUAGAGACUGACGCUUGCCCGCUGUUGGAACGUUAAGGUGACUGGUUAGCCGCAAGGCGAGGCUGGGAGCCGAAGCGCCAAUGAAGGGCGGCCGUAACUAUGACGGUCCUAAGGUAGCGAAAUUCCUUGUCGGGUAAGUUCCGACCCGCACGAAUAGCGUAACGACAGCUGUACUGUCUCCACGAGGGACUCGGCGAAAUUGUAGCUGUGGUGAAGAUGCCACAUACCCGCACCAAGACGGAAAGACCCCGUGAACCUUUACUGUAACCUAAUACUGGCUCUAGGUUCGCCAUGUGUAGCAUAGGUGGGAGACGUUGAUGUCAGGGGCGCCAGCCUCUGAAUAGUCAUCAGUGAAAUACCACUCUUGUCGUACUUGGAGUCUAACCUGCGACCGUUAUCCGGCGUGGGAACAGUGUUAGGCGGGGAGUUUGACUGGGGCGGUCUCCUCCUAAAAGGUAACGGAGGAGUACAAAGGUACCCUCAA